This 318-nucleotide unclassified non-coding RNA is filed under the name plant metagenome. RNAcentral describes it as "partial contains 5.8S ribosomal RNA, internal transcribed spacer 2, and large subunit ribosomal RNA". The stretch from base 1 to 105 matches the Rfam family "5.8S ribosomal RNA", at positions 50 to 154 of the family's 154-position model. The record is from RNAcentral.
GAAAUGCGAUAAGUAAUGUGAAUUGCAGAAUUCAGUGAAUCAUCGAAUCUUUGAACGCACAUUGCGCCCGCCAGAAUUCUGGCGGGCAUGUCUGUUCGAGCGUCAUUUCAACCCUCGAGCUCCCCUUUCGGGGGGAGCCCGGCGUUGGGGACCCGGCGCUAACAACGCCGGCCCCGAAAUGGAGUGGCGGCCCGUCCGCGGCGACCUCUGCGUAGUAACAACCACUCGCACCGGGACCCGGGCGCGGCCACGCCGUAAAACACCCCACCUUCCGAAUGUUGACCUCGAAUCAGGUAGGAAUACCCGCUGAACUUAAGC